UUUCUACUCCCUCCGUCCGAAAAUACUUGUCAUCAAAAUGAAUAAAAAGAUGUAUCUAAAACUAAAAUACAUCUAAAUACAUUUCAUUUUAUUUAUUUUGAUGACGUAUUUCCGGACGAAGGAAGUACAAA
Molecule: non-coding RNA, 131 nt
Organism: Triticum aestivum (bread wheat)
Lineage: Eukaryota; Viridiplantae; Streptophyta; Magnoliopsida; Poales; Poaceae
Source: Rfam